RNAcentral lists this ribosomal RNA (490 nucleotides) under uncultured bacterium. RNAcentral describes it as "partial 16S ribosomal RNA". It matches the Rfam family "Bacterial small subunit ribosomal RNA", at positions 30 to 507 of the family's 1533-position model. The record is from RNAcentral.
AUUGAACGCUGGCGGCAUGCUUUACACAUGCAAGUCGAACGGCAGCGGGGUAGUGCUUGCACUACUGCCGGCCAGUGGCGAACGGGUGAGUAAUAUAUCGGAACGUACCGAGUAAUGGGGGAUAACCAAUCGAAAGAUUGGCUAAUACCGCAUACGUCCUGAGGGAGAAAGCGGGGGAUCGCAAGACCUCGCGUUAUUCGAGCGGCCGAUAACUGAUUAGCUAGUUGGUGGGGUAAAGGCCUACCGAGGCGACGAUCAGUAGCGGGUCUGAGAGGACGAUCCGCCACACUGGGACUGAGACACGGCCCAGACUCCUACGGGAGGCAGCAGUGGGGAAUUUUGGACAAUGGGGGCAACCCUGAUCCAGCCAUGCCGCGUGUAUGAAGAAGGCCUUCGGGUUGUAAAGUACUUUUGUUAGGGAAGAAAAGGGAAGUGCUAAUACCACUUUUUGCUGACGGUACCUAAAGAAUAAGCACCGGCUAACUACGUG